UUUCUGGGAUGAAUCAAACUAGCUCACUAUGACUGAUUAUGAAAACAGUUGAACACCUAAGGGAA
This is a small nucleolar RNA of Oryctolagus cuniculus (rabbit), 65 nucleotides long. The record is from Ensembl. NCBI's taxonomy places the organism in Eukaryota, Metazoa, Chordata, Mammalia, Lagomorpha, Leporidae.